AAAGAAGUGUGUUUUUGUUUGUGAGGGAAAGAUAACCUUGAUCAGCUUCCCAAAGAACCCAGUGUUAAGGGAACAGUGGAUGCCGUUUGUUUCUCCGGGGAAGCAACAGAGUUGUGCAAAAUGUGUUUGAUUGUUCUCAGCAUUUCGGUGACAAAUGUUUUAUAAACAAAUUAAAUACAAUUUAAGCCAGUAAAGUUUUUGUUCCCG
This is a long non-coding RNA of Sinocyclocheilus grahami, 207 nucleotides long. RefSeq lists it as uncharacterized. NCBI's taxonomy places the organism in Eukaryota, Metazoa, Chordata, Actinopteri, Cypriniformes, Cyprinidae. The record is from RefSeq and is a predicted model, not a curated record. The transcript has 3 exons.